CCUACGGGAUGCAGCAGUGGGGAAUAUUGCACAAUGGGCGCAAGCCUGAUACAGCCAUGCCGCGUGUAUGAAGAAGGCCUUCGGGUUGUAAAGUACUUUCAGCGGGGAGGAAGGUGUUGUGGUUAAUAACCACAGCAAUUGACGUUACCCGCAGAAGAAGCACCGGCUAACUCCGUGCCAGCAGCCGCGGUAAUACGGAGGGUGCAAGCGUUAAUCGGAAUUACUGGGCGUAAAGCGCACGCAGGCGGUCUGUCAAGUCGGAUGUGAAAUCCCCGGCUCAACCUGGGAACUGCAUUCGAAACUGGCGGGCUGGAGUCUUGUAGAGGGGGGUAGAAUUCCAGGUGUAGCGGUGAGAUGCGUAGAGAUCUGGAGGAAUACCGGUGGCGAAGGCGGCCCCCUGGACAAAGACUGACGCUCAGGUGCGAAAGCGUGUGGAGCAAACAGGAUUAGAUACCCCCGUAGUC
RNAcentral lists this ribosomal RNA (464 nucleotides) under uncultured bacterium. Its description in RNAcentral is "bacterial SSU rRNA". It matches the Rfam family "Bacterial small subunit ribosomal RNA", at positions 338 to 795 of the family's 1533-position model. The record is from RNAcentral.